UGCGAGUGAAGCGGGAAAAGCUCAAAUUUAAAAUCUGGCGGUCUUUGGCCGUCCGAGUUGUAAUCUAGAGAAGUGUUAUCCGCGCUGGACCGUGUACAAGUCUCCUGGAAUGGAGCGUCAUAGAGGGUGAGAAUCCCGUCUUUGACACGGACUGCCAGGGCUUUGUGAUGCGCUCUCAAAGAGUCGAGUUGUUUGGGAAUGCAGCUCAAAAUGGGUGGUAAAUUCCAUCUAAAGCUAAAUAUUGGCGAGAGACCGAUAGCGAACAAGUACCGUGAGGGAAAGAUGAAAAGAACUUUGGAAAGAGAGUUAAACAGUACGUGAAAUUGCUGAAAGGGAAACGCUUGAAGUCAGUCGCAUUGUGUGGGAAUCAACCUUGCUUUUGCUGGGCGUACUUUCCAUAUGAUGGGUCAGCAUCAAUUUUGACCGUUGGAUAAAGUCUAAAGGAAUGUGGCAUCUUCGGAUGUGUUAUAGCCUUUGGUCGCAUACAACGAUUGGGAUUGAGGAACUCAGCACGCCGAAAGGCCGGGUCUUGUACCACGUUCGUGCUUAGGAUGCUGGCAUAAUGGCUUUAAUCGACCCGUCUUGAAACACGGACCAAGGAGUCUAACAUGCCUGCGAGUAUUUGGGUGGAAAACCCGAGUGCGCAAUGAAAGUGAAAGUUGAGAUCCUUGUCAUGGGGAGCAUCGACGCCCGGACCAGACCUUUUGUGACGGAUCUGCGGUAGAGCAUGUAUGUUGGGACCCGAAAGAUGGUGAACUAUGCCUGAAUAGGGUGAAGCCAGAGGAAACUCUGGUGGAGGCUCGUAGC
This 807-nucleotide ribosomal RNA is filed under the name Hypholoma sublateritium. RNAcentral describes it as "eukaryotic LSU rRNA". It matches the Rfam family "Eukaryotic large subunit ribosomal RNA", at positions 88 to 881 of the family's 3401-position model. Lineage: Eukaryota; Fungi; Basidiomycota; Agaricomycetes; Agaricales; Strophariaceae. The record is from RNAcentral.